RNAcentral lists this ribosomal RNA (305 nucleotides) under uncultured bacterium. RNAcentral's name for it is "bacterial SSU rRNA". It matches the Rfam family "Bacterial small subunit ribosomal RNA", at positions 333 to 636 of the family's 1533-position model. The record is from RNAcentral.
UGUGGCCUACGGGAGGCAGCAGUGAGGAAUAUUGGUCAAUGGUCGGGAGACUGAACCAGCCAAGCCGCGUGAGGGAUGAAGGUACAGAGUAUCGUAAACCUCUUUUGUCAGGGAACAAAGGCGGGGACGCGUCCCCGGAUGAGUGUACCUGAAGAAAAAGCAUCGGCUAAACCCGUGCCAGCAGCCGCGGUAAUACGGAGGAUGCGAGCAUUAUCCGGAUUUAUUGGGUUUAAAGGGUGCGCAGGCGGGCUGUUAAGUCGGCGGUCAAAACCCGGGGCUCAACCCCGGCCCGCCGGUGAAAAAGG